This 59-nucleotide transfer RNA is filed under the name Mus musculus (house mouse). It matches the Rfam family "tRNA", at positions 7 to 64 of the family's 71-position model. From Rfam's summary of the family: Transfer RNA (tRNA) molecules are approximately 80 nucleotides in length. Their secondary structure includes four short double-helical elements and three loops (D, anti-codon, and T loops). Lineage: Eukaryota; Metazoa; Chordata; Mammalia; Rodentia; Muridae. The record is from Rfam by way of RNAcentral. RNAcentral also lists the same sequence under 1 other name.
AUAGCUUAGUGGCAGAGUGGUUACCUGACAUGUAUGAGGACUUGGGUUCAAGUCCCAGU